RNAcentral lists this ribosomal RNA (411 nucleotides) under Chiasmocleis sp. FTA79. Its description in RNAcentral is "partial large subunit ribosomal RNA". It matches the Rfam family "Bacterial large subunit ribosomal RNA", at positions 1834 to 2457 of the family's 2925-position model. Lineage: Eukaryota; Metazoa; Chordata; Amphibia; Anura; Microhylidae. The record is from RNAcentral.
UCUGAAUAAAUAUAGAAGGUCCCGCCUGCCCAGUGACAAAGUUAAACGGCCGCGGUACCCUAACCGUGCAAAGGUAGCGCAAUCACUUGUUCUUUAAAUGAGGACUAGUAUGAACGGCAUCACGAGGAUUAUUCUGUCUCCCCCUUUUAAUCAGUGAAACUGAUCUCCCCGUGAAGAAGCGGGGAUAAACCUAUAAGACGAGAAGACCCUAUGGAGCUUUAAACUUACACCACUUGUCUACACACAAUUCACAAUAAACAGACAAAACUGCGUGCUAGUUUUUGGUUGGGGUGACCGCGGAGCAAAAUAAAACCUCCACAAUGAAAAGACUUCCAAUCUUUAUCUAAGAGCAACAUCUCAAAGAAUUGGUAAACCAACACAACUGACCCAAACAUGCUUUGAUCAACGAAC